Molecule: ribosomal RNA, 484 nt
Filed under: uncultured bacterium
Lineage: Bacteria
Description: partial 16S ribosomal RNA
Rfam family: Bacterial small subunit ribosomal RNA
Source: RNAcentral
AUUGAACGCUGGCGGCAGGCCUAACACAUGCAAGUCGAGCGGAUGAAGGGAGCUUGCUCCUGGAUUCAGCGGCGGACGGGUGAGUAAUGCCUAGGAAUCUGCCUGGUAGUGGGGGAUAACGUCCUGAAACGGGCGCUAAUACCGCAUACGUCCUGAUGGAGAAAGUGGGGGAUCUUCGGACCUCACGCUAUCAGAUGAGCCUAGGUCGGAUUAGCUAGUUGGUGGGGUAAAGGCCUACCAAGGCGACGAUCCGUAACUGGUCUGAGAGGAUGAUCAGUCACACUGGAACUGAGACACGGUCCAGACUCCUACGGGAGGCAGCAGUGGGGAAUAUUGGACAAUGGGCGAAAGCCUGAUCCAGCCAUGCCGCGUGUGUGAAGAAGGUCUUCGGAUUGUAAAGCACUUUAAGUUGGGAGGAAGGGCAGUAAGUUAAUACCUUGCUGUUUUGACGUUACCAACAGAAUAAGCACCGGCUAACUUCGUG